Molecule: non-coding RNA, 725 nt
Organism: Odocoileus virginianus texanus
Lineage: Eukaryota; Metazoa; Chordata; Mammalia; Artiodactyla; Cervidae
Source: RefSeq, a predicted model, not a curated record
CGGUCUUUUACGUCGGAACUUGGGAGCGGGUUGCAUCUGCUAGGUUAAUGUAUUGAUUCUCCCGCUGGAACAAUGGGUUUCAGUGUAGCGGAACUGUUACAUGGAGAUGCUAAGAUGCAAAGGUACAUUUCAAAACAUGCCGGACAGUAUUGGCUGGAAAAUGACUUGGUUAAAACCUGAUGAUCUUACCAGCGUUCUGCAGAUUGAUGAAUACUAAUGAAGCUGUGGGUGUCACUGAGCAGCUUCAUUUUAAAGUUACCCUGACUUACAUCUGCUGCAGUAAUUCCGAGGUUUGUGGUAAAUGUCGGUGUGGUGUAGCUUAAUGGAUUUUGGUCUGAUCAGUGAUGAAGCCAAUCCCGAAGCUGGUAACCUGAAGAAACGCAUGUACGGAUUCGGCUUCUGAGACAAGGCUAAUGUGCAGAUUUGAGUAGAAGUUUUACAGCAGAUUCCUGUUGGGUUAUGCCUCAUAGAGGAAAAACUUAAUUCACAGUAGUGGGGUUUUCUCUGCCAACAGUGAGGGGUUGCUGUCUGCCUGUUGAAAGAAGUCGGUGUGCUGUGACAUUUCGAAGGUGGAACCAUUUCUGUGAGUAGAGAUGUUUUGCUUCAAAAUCAGUAAACAUUGUGUCCUUGGUCUUACCUAUGAUGAUCCUAUCCCGAACCUGAAUUUCUGUUGAAAAAACUUAAUACGGAUCUGGCUUCUGAGGUGGACCUUAUAAGGACAACAG